Molecule: microRNA, 22 nt
Filed under: Eptatretus burgeri (inshore hagfish)
Lineage: Eukaryota; Metazoa; Chordata; Myxini; Myxiniformes; Myxinidae
Description: Ebu-Mir-92-P2e_3p (mature (guide))
Source: RNAcentral
CAUUGCACUUGUCUCAGUCUGC